Molecule: non-coding RNA, 117 nt
Filed under: Pan troglodytes (chimpanzee)
Lineage: Eukaryota; Metazoa; Chordata; Mammalia; Primates; Hominidae
Source: Rfam by way of RNAcentral
GCCGGGCGCGGUGGCUCACGCCUGUAAUCCUAGCAUUUUGGGAGGCCGAGGCAGGCGGAUCAUCUGAGGUCAGGAGUUCUAGACCAGCCUGGCCAACAUGGUGAAACCCCGUCUCUA